UACGAGGGGGGGCAAGCGUUGUUCGGAAUUAUUGGGCGUAAAGGGUGCGUAGGUGGUUCGGCAAGUCUUGUGUGAAAUCUUCAGGCUCAAACUUGAAGUCUGCACAAGAAACUGCCGGGCUUGAGUAUGGGAGAGGUGAGUGGAAUUUCCGGUGUAGCGGUGAAAUGCGUAGAUAUCGGGAAGGAACACCUGUGGCGAAAGCGGCUCACUGGACCAUUACUGACACUGAGGCACGAAAGCUAGGGGAGCAAACAGG
This 256-nucleotide ribosomal RNA is filed under the name uncultured bacterium. Its description in RNAcentral is "partial 16S ribosomal RNA". It matches the Rfam family "Bacterial small subunit ribosomal RNA", at positions 524 to 776 of the family's 1533-position model. The record is from RNAcentral.